GCGAGUUGGCGUGUGGCUUUCGUUCCCUCUUCGGGAAUGAGGAAACUCCGCCCACAUGUAGAAUUGCAGCCCCUUCAGUGGGGCAAGGCGAGAGCCUUGGCUACAGAGCAGAAACGAAACGUCCACGUGGCAAGUGAAUAUGAGGCAUGCUAAGUUGCCGAGUGAUGCCUUGUGGAAGCGGUGAAACGGCUGUCCUGCAAGUGGAAAGGGCAAACAGUCGCCGAUGAGGCUUCUACCCGAGGGCGCGGGUAGCCCGAUUAGCCGAAUGCCACAAUUAGACAACAGAAGGCGGGUUAUGUCCAACACGC
This 308-nucleotide RNase P RNA is filed under the name Candidatus Bathyarchaeota archaeon. Its description in RNAcentral is "RNase P RNA component". It matches the Rfam family "Archaeal RNase P". Rfam says of the family: Ribonuclease P (RNase P) is a ubiquitous endoribonuclease, found in archaea, bacteria and eukarya as well as chloroplasts and mitochondria. Its best characterised activity is the generation of mature 5'-ends of tRNAs by cleaving the 5'-leader elements of precursor-tRNAs. Lineage: Archaea; Thermoproteati; Candidatus Bathyarchaeota. The record is from RNAcentral. RNAcentral also lists the same sequence under 1 other name.